CCUACGGGUGGCAGCAGUGAGGAAUAUUGGUCAAUGGGCGGAAGCCUGAACCAGCCAAGUAGCGUGAAGGAAGAAGGCUUUCGGGUUGUAAACUUCUUUUAAGAGGGAAGAGCAGAAGACGGUACCUCUUGAAUAAGCCACGGCUAACUACGUGCCAGCAGCCGCGGUAAUACGUAGGUGGCAAGCGUUGUCCGGAUUUACUGGGUGUAAAGGGCGUGCAGCCGGGAAGACAAGUCAGAUGUGAAAUCCCGCGGCUCAACCGCGGAACUGCAUUUGAAACUGUUUUUCUUGAGUACCGGAGAGGUCAUCGGAAUUCCUUGUGUAGCGGUGAAAUGCGUAGAUAUUAGGAGGAACACCAGUGGCGAAGGCGGCUUACUGGACUGUAACUGACGUUGAGGCUCGAAAGCGUGGGGAGCAAACAGGAUCAGAUACCCGGGUAGUC
This 442-nucleotide ribosomal RNA is filed under the name uncultured bacterium. RNAcentral's name for it is "partial 16S ribosomal RNA". It matches the Rfam family "Bacterial small subunit ribosomal RNA", at positions 338 to 795 of the family's 1533-position model. The record is from RNAcentral.